Polyodon spathula (Mississippi paddlefish) is the source of this 2225-nucleotide long non-coding RNA. RefSeq lists it as uncharacterized. The transcript is spliced from 3 exons. Lineage: Eukaryota; Metazoa; Chordata; Actinopteri; Acipenseriformes; Polyodontidae. The record is from RefSeq and is a predicted model, not a curated record.
UAUUUUUAUGUAUGUAUUUAGAAGGUGUUGGUAGCACUGACUAUGGUAAGACAUUGAAGGCUCAGACCUCAUGUGACAUUCCUGAGCAGCAAACAAUGAAGUUUGCACCCACAGUGCAGGAACAUGGUGAUCCUGAGAAAUGCAUUGUUCUUGGUUUCACUUCUUGAUAAUAUUGCAACAUCUGGAUGUUGGUUAUUUUCUAAGAUUGGAAACAAUUAGCAGCAGCAAACGCUCAUUACCCAGUGUGUCACUGACUAGAUAAUACGAUAAAUAUAUACAAUGCUGGUUCUGUCACUUGAUUAGGCUCCAAACAUACCUCUCUUUACUUUUCUCUUCCCGUUUUAUAAUGCAGAGAAUGUUCUUGAUAUUAAAGAUGCUGUUCUUUAUAUUGUAGAGGACGGUCAGUAGAAUGUAAUUAAAAGCUGUACUGUAUUGACGGAUAAGAUUAUUUUGGCAGCUCUCACUCAGGCAAAGCUCAUGUCUACGAUAACUACAACUACAAGUUCAACCAGCACUGCUGAGACUGCGGACUUUCCAAGGUCAUCCAGGCAGACAAGUUAAAACAAUUCAUUCAACAAUCUCAGGGGUUUCAUUCUGUUUUUAUAAACCUGGCACCCUGUAAAAGCACAACUCAAUACACACUGGUGUUUGGGUUAAAUACUGUGGGCCCUAAUUGUGAAAAUUGAAAUACUGUUUUUAAGACUGCGUUUUCAGGACUGGUUUUAAAGAUUCUCUGUGGUUUGAAAAGUGAAAAUGAACUUUUAACCCUCUCUCACCGUCCUUAAAAUGCUGUGAAUGGGGCUGAAUGUACAGCAGGAAUGGUGCUUUCUGGUGAUCUUGUUUAAAAGGCAAGGGUGUCUUAGUGAGGGAGCGCUGUAUUUAAGUGUUGCUGUUUUUGAAAUCCUCAGCACUGUUGAAAUGAAAUGGAUCACACCCCUCAGUGUUGUGCUGGGACUGCUGGCCUUCGUGCUGAUUUCUACUGCAUUCGUUAUUGUAACGUUUAAGAAACAGAGGCAGAAGAUGCUCAGGAGUUUUGAAGAUAUCCCUCCUCAGCCCUGUGUACCUAUUACCUACGCCUCCAUAGCAUUCCACUCAGGAUCAGCUGAAGACCCCUCAAUGCUAUACGUUAACCUGCGAUCACCCGGAGUCCCACUCUGGAUCUUUUCCAGUAUCCGCAGAAACAGUGGAAUAUACAACAGUGGCAAUCAAAAUCAAAUAACCAGCCAGAGUGUUUAUAUAUAUGGGCAAAGUCUGUGUCUGCUACUUUAUUGUUUACUAGUUUCUAUGCUUGCCUCUCUGUACACAGAGUCCAGUCUUAGUGCAUCUGGAACCUGUUUUUUGGACCUAGGCUGAUUGGGAAACUAGUCGUGCUCAGUGAUAUUAUCUAAUAUACAUCUAAUAACUCAUAUGAGCAUGUUAGUAGUUAAUAAAUAACCUCACUCCCCUGACCACAGACCAACUAUGCCAAUAAAUGGUUAUACUGUAUAUGGUUCAUUCCCUUUAGCAAUAAAUGAUUAUACUCUAUAAGGUUCAUUCCCUAUAUUGUUUAUUUAAACAGAACAUGGACACAAUUCCUAAAAAAGCAGUGACAAUAAAGAUCUAGCACUAUGAAUCAGAAAAUAAACCACAUUUAAUGCAUAUUACUAUAGCAGUACAACCAUCCUUCAAACUGCAGAACAUCAUGCUAAGUAGAUUUUGUAAAUGUAAGACAUGGGUAAGUGUAACUAGAUAGCAAUUCAUGCACCUGGUCAGUAUUUCAAAGCAUGUUCCUACAAUGAAAAGUUUGUCAUUUAUGUCUCCUUUUCGAUUGUGAAUCCUGUCUCACGCCUAAGCCAGGAGGUGACGAAUUAAGGGAACUGCACUGCCUUGGCUAGCCCCACUCGGUUGUUACCUCUAUCAAAGAUAGAAUAGUACUCCCUCAUGAAAACUUCUCCCAGGAUCCAGAAAGGUUCCCUAGUAUCAGUGAUGCCGCUUUUGCAUAAUCCACCACUGACCUGUUAUAUGGACCAAUAAAACAAAAGACAUUGUAAGCAGAUAGUUUCAAUGCAUCAGCACUGCGGCUGACUCCUAUCUUGUUUGCAUGCCAUUAUGAUCCAUUACAGAUUUGUUCCUAUUGCUUGAGCUUUGAUUAGUAGUACCAUUAUGAAACUCAUGUGUUUGUCAGCUGUUCCUAUGACAUCAUUGGCUGUUCCCAUUUGGGGGUCUUUAUUUUUUAAUGAAUAAAA